CAGGUUCAAGGAGGUGCUAAGGGACAGAGCUUUGUGCCAGGCAGCAGCAGCAGGUUUGGAUCCGGCAGCCUGGAAGCAGCCACAGGCAGAGAACAUUGGGACGCCCACGGCACCGAGGCGUCGUUUUCCGUCCAGGCCGGAGUUUGUGGGCUCAUCUUCCGAAAGCUAAGUGUCAGGGAUGGGGGUGAGGAGAAGAGGAAAAAGGUUUUCAGUGGCAGGGGGCAAUUCAAAGCUAGCUUAGGGCAGAGGGCCAGAGGCCCGGUAAGUAAGGGUAGAGGGUUCGUCCCAGGCAUCAGCAGAGCUUUUGCCGGGCAGGGCAGUGGCAUCCCCCGUCCGCCUUUUAGGGAGCCGGGCGUCAUCCGCCCGGUUGGAGUCCACAGGGUUAGGGUGCAGCAGGGGAUGGGCAGCCCACGCCGGGAUCCCCGUGCCAGGAGCGUCUGCAGUUUUGAGGUGUAGGGUGGAGCAGGAGCACUUGAGAGAGACCCAGUGAGGCUGAGGGAGGGCUUGAGAGGUGAGGGAGUGUCAGGCCAGAGAGCAGGAGGUGAAAGUAAGGCGUAGAGGCUAGGGUGCAAAUUUGAGCACAGGUGUAUGAGCCCUGAGAAGCGUCCUGUUUCCCUGAGAGCAGGUGCAGGCAGCCAGGCUGUGGCAGGCCAGCGGCAGAAGAGCCGAGAGGGGCAGGCAGGAAGCGUUAGUGGGGAGCAGGGUCCGCAGGGCCGGGUCUAACCGGGGGUUUCCCGCCCCGGCCCACCCUGGGAUCUCCUGUCUCCCCGCAGUCGAGGAUGUCUCCUCCCAUUCCUCGAGGCGGCGGUUGGUAAGGCUUCGUGCCUUUGCCACCGCCAAGAGCGCGGCUCUGUCAGCCUCUGCCCUGUCUCAGGGCCAAAGUUAGUUAGGCUAGGGAGAAACUGUGGAUGACUCGUCCUGCCCGCAGGACAACCCUUGGGACCCUGGAUCAGGAGCAUCCUCGACUGCUAGCAUAGGGCCUUAGAGAAGUAGGGUGAAGCAGGGCACUUGAGAGAGACCCAGCGAGGCUGAGGGAGGGCUUGAGAGGUGAAGGAGCGUCAGGCCAGAGAGCAGACCAUGAAUGUAAGGUGUAGAGGCUAGGAUGCAAGUUUGAGUGCAGGUGCAUGAGCCCUGAGAAGGGUCCUGUUUCCCUGAGAGCAGGUGCAGGCAGCCAGGCUGUGUCAGGGCAGUGGCAGAAGCGCUGAGGGGGCAGGCGCUAGGGCUAGGCAGGAAAUGAGGAGGGGGGGCAGAGUCGACUGGGUUGGGGUUGAGCGUGGGAUGCCCACCCUGGUAUCUCUGUCCUGCUGCAAUCAGGGAUGUCACAGCCCUAGUGGAGGCCAGGGUGGGUGAGUGGGCUUAGCAUCCAUCGUGCCACCAAGACGUUGUCCGUGCAGGUGUCAGGCUGUGAGCGAAGCCAAAGCAAGCUGCCCAAGACUCUGGGCAUUGUUAAGAGACGGGGAGCCCCAGGAUCGGUGUUUUUUGGCGGAUGUGCUGCAAAGUUCAUGCUUUAAUGUUUGGUUUUCUUUUUUAUAGCUGAGGAAGAGACACCAGGCUGGUGACAGCAGGACUUUCCCAGAGGGCGAGACGGCAUUCCUUGGCACCGGAUGCGGAUGGCGAUCCCUGGACCUCCCAGAGCUAAGUGGAGGGCUCAAGCUGCAGAGGGCAUGAGAGCAGGGUGCUGGGUUGGGAGUUGCUGGGGGGGGAUUAUUGAGUCUGGUUUGGCUAGGGAGAUGCGCAUCAUGUGAGCGCUUAGGGCACCUGAAGGGCAAGUGUCAUUUUUGCUGGCCAUGCUGAGCUGUGGAGGGCAGAGCAGUCCCGGGCACGUGGUGUCUGUUGUGUGUCGCGCACUCUGUGUGUGUCGGGCAUCUCAUCUUUCAUGUUUUUUCCCAUGGUCCCCCAGGGGUCCUAUGGGGAACCCCGGCAUCACGGUUAGCAUUUCUGAUGUCUGCCUUUGUGGCCCCAGCAGCUUUGACGGGAGAGCUGGGACUUGGAUCUGAAUCUUGUGUCCCUUUAGACUCAUCCAGUGCGAUGUCUUUUGAGGUCUUGUUCUGAGCUGUACAGAGAGCCGUGCCCCGCCACGAUCCAUUUUGGCAGGUUAGGACUUGUUAGAAGUCCAAGCUAGGUCUGGGCUUGUGAGCGGAGGAGUGUCAGGCAUCCAUCUUUGUGAUUCUUGAAAUGAUUCAUCUUGUUAGCAUCAUCUUCCUGCAGGGUUCUGUGAGCCUGGCCAGCUCACCUUAUUUCUUCCGUUUGUCAUCUCAUUCUGAGUUCUCUCGGUCCUCCCGGUCGUUCUUCUUGCGGAGAGCUUUUUGUUGUUGUGGUGUCCCCUGGUUUGUGGUGUCCUGUGUGAUGGAUGUUGUGGUGUCUUUGUCCCGGAGCUGCUCUGCCCUGCCGCAUGGGUGGGUGUAGGGGUAAUAGAAGGAGCCCCUGGGGCCUGAAGUGGGUGAUGUCAGGUGGAGUUGUGGUGCGGAGGGCAUUGGUCGGUUGGCAGCACGUGUCUGUCGCUGUCAAGUUCCCGUGCCGCAGUGUGACUUUGUUCCUGUGUGUGUUUCAGAUGCGGAUGGAUUCACUUGAUGGCAGAGAGCCCCAUCCCGGGUGAGGGGGUGUCCCCAGAAGAGGAACUGAAGCGGGAUGUCAUCUGUCAAGGUGAAGCGGAGCAGGAGAUGUCACUUUCCACGGAGCUGCCCUCAGCAAGCAGAGGAUGGAUGCAGUUUGCCUGUCUCCUGAGUCCUGUGGGGAGCAGAAGAGGAGUGUGUGAUGAAGCCUUGAUAUUUUCCAUUUGAAGGUGCCAUCCAGGUCCACCCCGUGACGACGGCAGGGGGCUCGGAGCGCGGCCGAGGCGUGCGGGGCGAGGACGUGGGUAUUCUUAGGAGACGCUGAGGAAGAGACACCAGCCCGGUGGUGGCAGGACAUUCCCAGAGGGCGAGGCGGCGUUCCUUGGCACUGAUGUGGACGGUGAUCACCGGACCUCCCAGAGCUAAGUGGAGGGCUCGAGGCACAGAGGGGAUGAGAGCAGGGUGCUGGGUUGGGAGUUGCUGGGGGGAUUGAGUUCAGUAUGGAUCUGGAGAUGUGCAGGAUGUGAGUGCUUAGGGCACAUGAAAGGCAAGUGUCAUUUCUGAUUGUAAUGCUGAGACAGGCAGGGCAGAGCAGUCCCGGGCACACGGUGUCUGUUGUCCACUCUGUGUGUGUCAGGCAUCUCAUCUUUCACGUCUUUUCCCAUAGCCCCUCAAGGUGCCUGUGGGGAACCCUGGGAUCACUGUUAGCAUUUCUGAUGUCUGCCUUCCUGGCUCCAGUGGCUUUGACUGGAGAGCUGGGACUUAGAUCUGAACCUCAUCUCUGUUCAGAGUCAUCCAGUGCGAUGUCUUUUGAGGUCUUGUUCUGAGCUGUGCCCCGCCACGAUCCAUUUUGGCGGGUUAGGACUUGUUAGAAGUCCAAGCUAGGUCUGGGCUUGUGAGCGGAGGAGCGUCGGGCAUCCAUCUUUGUGAUUCUCGGAAGGCAUCAUCUUGUUAGCGUCCUCUUCUUGUAGGGUUCUGUGAGCCUGGCCAGCUCACCUUGUUUCUUCCGUUCGUCAUCUCAUUCCGAGUUCUCUCGGUCCUCCCGGUCAUUCUUCUUGCGGAGAGCUUUUUGUUGUUGUGGUGUCCCCUGGUUUGUGGUGUCCUGUGUGAUGGAUGUUGUGGUGUCUUUGUCCCGGAGCUGCUCUGCCCUGCUGCAUGGGUGGGUGUAGGGGUAAUAGAAGAAGCCCCUGGGGCCUGAAGUGGGUGAUGUCAGGUGGAGUUGUGGUGCGGAGGUUGGCAGCACGUGUCUGUCGCUGUCAAGUUCCCGUGCCGCAGUGUGACUUUGUUCCUGUGUGUGUUUCAGAUGCGGAUGGAUUCACUUGAUGGCAGAGAGCCCCAUCCCGGGUGAGGGGGUGUCCCCAGAAGAGCUGCGUCACCGUUUGGCUUUGCAGGGGUCACGUGCAUGGUGAGUAUGUGACAGCAUUUUUGUUUGUGUUUCCUUUCAGGAACUGAAGCGGGAUGUCAUCUGUCAAGGUGAAGCGGAGCAGGAGAUGUCACUUUCCACGGAGCUGCCCUCAGCAAGCAGAGGAUGGAUGCAGUUUGCCUGUCUCCUGAGUCCUGUGGGGAGCAGAAGAGGAGUGUGUGAUGAAGCCUUGAUAUUUUCCAUUUGAAGGUGCCAUCCAGCCAGGUCCACCCCGUGACGACGGCAGGGGGCUCGGAGCGCGGCCGAGGCGUGCGGGGCGAGGACGUGGGUAUUCUUAGGAGACGCUGAGGAAGAGACACCAGCCCGGUGGUGGCAGGACAUUCCCAGAGGGCGAGGCGGCGUUCCUUGGCACUGAUGUGGACGGUGAUCACCGGACCUCCCAGAGCUAAGUGGAGGGCUCGAGGCACAGAGGGGAUGAGAGCAGGGUGCUGGGUUGGGAGUUGCUGGGGGGAUUGAGUUCAGUAUGGAUCUGGAGAUGUGCAGGAUGUGAGUGCUUAGGGCACAUGAAAGGCAAGUGUCAUUUCUGAUUGUAAUGCUGAGACAGGCAGGGCAGAGCAGUCCCGGGCACACGGUGUCUGUUGUCCACUCUGUGUGUGUCAGGCAUCUCAUCUUUCACGUCUUUUCCCAUAGCCCCUCAAGGCGCCUGUGGGGAACCCUGGGAUCACUGUUAGCAUUUCUGAUGUCUGCCUUCCUGGCUCCAGUGGCUUUGACUGGAGAGCUGGGACUUAGAUCUGAACCUCAUCUCUGUUCAGAGUCAUCCAGUGCAAUGUCUUUUGAGGUCUUGUUCUGAGCUGUACGGACAGCUGGGCCCCGCCACGAUCCAUUUUGGCAGGUUAGGACUUGUUAAAGUCCAAGCUAGGUCUGGGCUUGUGAGCGGAGGAGUGUCAGGCAUCCAUCUUUGUGAUUCUCGGAAGGCAUCAUCUUGUUAGCGUCCUCUUCUUGUAGGGUUCUGUGAGCCUGGCCAGCUCACCUUGUUUCUUCCGUUUGUCAUCUCAUUCUGAGUUCUCUCGGUCCUCCCGGUCGUUCUUCUUGCGGUGAGCUUUUUGUUGUUGUGGUGUCCCCUGGUUUGUGGUGUCCGAUGUGAAGGGUGUUGGUGUGUCUUUGUCCCCGAGCUGCUCUGCCCUGCCGCAUGGGUGGGUGUAGGGGUAAUAGAAGAAGCCCCUAGGGCCUGAAGUGGGUGAUGUCAGGUGGAGUUGUGGUGUGGAGGGCAUUCUCGGUUGGCAGCACGUGUCUGUCACUGCCAAAUUCCCUUGUUGCAGUGUGACUAUUUUCCUGACUUUGUUUCAGAUGCAGAUGGAUUCAAUCCAUGGUAGAGCGCCUCAUCCUGGGUGAGGGGGUUCCUCUGUGAAGGUGUAAGUCACUGUCUUUGCUGGGGUAGUGCAAAUAGUGACUGUGUAAGAGCUUUUUUUUUUCUCUUUACUUUCAGGAAGUGAUGGUCGAUGUCAGCUCUCAAGGUGAAGUGGAGCAGGUGAACCGUGAUUGUUGGAGAGAAGCAGUUGCUAUUGCUGAAGUCUUACUUGAUCAUGCAUGUCUAAGCAUCCCCUUUUGUGUUUUAUGGGGUCUGCUUGCAUGACGCCAUUCUGUCACGAACUAGGUGCUGGUAUCUGUUUGGAAUUUAGUGUGGAGAAUCUUUCUGUGGAGAAUUUUUCUGAUGCAUGGCUGCCAGCAAGGGCCACGAUACUCUUAAGUCGGUUGGAAUGUAACUAUGUCUGUGUGGUGUACGUGAUGAUUAACAAGGAUACAAUAUCCUUGAGCACUAGAAUGAUACAACAACAAAGGUGUUGUUAGUACAAAAAUGCUGAAAAAUGCUAGGCUAAGGAACUGAAAAUGCUAGAUAAAGAAAAUUGUAGCCGCAAGGCUGAUUACAGAAAGAACAUGCGUCAAAAUAGCAUAAGCUAAUCAUGAGCUAUAGUUUUGUAAUAUGUAUGAACUAAUUAUUGACACUAUAUAUUUGCUAUUAAUCUAAAUAAAGCUGAGACUUGUUGAUCAUCAUCGGAUGUGGCUUGUCUCCCGUUGUUUUCCGACAAUUUUAGCUGGCUGCCAUCCCUUUGCUGGCCCAUAGCCUUUGACAGAAACAGUGUCCCUUCUCCAUGGGCAUGCCAAUUCCCCCUCCCCUGUUCCUGAUGUGAUUUUGUAGGAGGCAUUUGGCACUCCAAGUUAGACAUGUAAGUGUUGUUUCUGCCAGCCUUUGCCAGCCCUGUAAGCCUGCUUCCCUUCCCUUUCUGCAGCAUGUGUCUGUCCUGGUCUUAGGAUUUGUGCAUGCUUUGAAAAGGAAUGUUUCA
Long non-coding RNA from Hirundo rustica (Barn swallow), 6257 nucleotides. RefSeq lists it as uncharacterized. The transcript has 9 exons. NCBI's taxonomy places the organism in Eukaryota, Metazoa, Chordata, Aves, Passeriformes, Hirundinidae. The record is from RefSeq and is a predicted model, not a curated record.